AUGCGGUCCAGGUCUCAGGCUGUGGUGACUCAGGAGCCCUCAGCGACCGUGUCCCCCGGAGGGACAGUCACUCUCACCUGUGGCUCCAGCACAGGGGCUGUCACUGAUGGUCUCUACCCGUACUGGAUCCAGCAGAAGCCUGGCCAGAUCCCCAGGACACUCAUUUAUAACACAAACAAGAAAUACUCCUGGACGCCGGCCCGGUUCUCAGGCUCCAUCCAAGGGGGCAAAGCUGCCCUGACCCUCUCAGGGGCGCAGCCUGAGGACGAGGCCGAGUACUACUGCUGGUUACACUUCAGUGGUGCUCACCACAGUGAGUGA
Molecule: non-coding RNA, 321 nt
Organism: Myotis myotis
Lineage: Eukaryota; Metazoa; Chordata; Mammalia; Chiroptera; Vespertilionidae
Source: the annotation of a RefSeq genome assembly